Molecule: ribosomal RNA, 216 nt
Filed under: Glomeromycotina sp.
Lineage: Eukaryota; Fungi; Glomeromycota
Description: partial small subunit ribosomal RNA
Rfam family: Eukaryotic small subunit ribosomal RNA (bases 54-216)
Source: RNAcentral
GGGUCAGUAGGUUGGUCGUGCCACCGGUACGUACUGGUCUCACUGACUCCUCCUUCCUGAAGAACCGUAAUGCCAUUAAUUUGGUGUUGCGGGGAAACAGGACUGUUACUUAGAAAAAAUUAGAGUGUUUAAAGCAAGCUAACGCUUGAAUACAUUAGCAUGGAAUAAUGAAAUAGGACGAUCGAUCCUAUUUUGUUGGUUUCUAGGAUUGACGUA